This 406-nucleotide ribosomal RNA is filed under the name uncultured bacterium. Its description in RNAcentral is "bacterial SSU rRNA". It matches the Rfam family "Bacterial small subunit ribosomal RNA", at positions 355 to 776 of the family's 1533-position model. The record is from RNAcentral.
UGGGGAAUAUUGCGCAAUGGGGGAAACCCUGACGCAGCAACGCCGCGUGAAGGAUGAAGGUCUUCGGAUUGUAAACUUCUUUGAUGAGGGAAGAAUAAAUGACGGUACCUCAAAAACAAGCCACGGCUAACUACGUGCCAGCAGCCGCGGUAAUACGUAGGCGGCGAGCGUUAUCCGGAAUUACUGGGUGUAAAGGGCGUGUAGACGGGGAAAUAAGUCAGAUGUGAAAUUCUUGGGCUCAACCCAAGCGCUGCAUCUGAAACUGUAUCUCUUGAGUGCUGGAGAGGAUAGUGGAAUUCCUAGUGUAGCGGUGAAAUGCGUAGAUAUUAGGAGGAACACCAGUGGCGAAGGCGACUAUCUGGACAGUAACUGACGUUGAGGCGCGAAAGCGUGGGGAGCAAACAGG